CGACGUCUGAUUAGCUAGUUGGUGAGGUAAAGGCUCACCAAGGCGACGAUCAGUAGCGGGUCUGAGAGGAUGAUCCGCCACACUGGGACUGAGACACGGCCCAGACUCCUACUGGAGGCAGCAGUGGGGAAUUUUGGACAAUGGGCGCAAGCCUGAUCCAGCCAUGCCGCGUGUCUGAAGAAGGCCUUCGGGUUGUAAUUGCCGUAAAUAAUGGGAAGGAAUGACGGUACCUGAGGAGGAAGCCCCGGCUAACUACGUGCCAGCAGCCGCGGUAAUACGUAGGGGGCGAGCGUUGUCCGGAAUUACUGGGCGUAAAGGGCGAGUAGGCGGUUAUACAAGUCAGAUGUGAAAUACCAGGGCUUAACCCUGGAGCUGCAUUUGAAACUGUAUAACUUGAGUACAGGAGAGGAAAGUGGAAUCCCCAGUGUAGCGGUGAAAUGCGUAGAUAUUGGGGGGAACACCAGUGGCGAAGGCGACUUUCUGGACUGUAACUGACGCUGAGGCGCGAAAGCGUGGGGAGCAAACAGGAUUAGAUACCCUGGUAGUCCACGCUGUAAACGAUGGAUACUAGGUGUAGGAGGUAUCGACCCCUUCUGUGCCGCAGUUAACACAAUAAGUAUCCCACCUGGGGAGUACGGCCGCAAGGUUGAAACUCAAAGGAAUUGACGGGGGCCCGCACAAGCAGUGGAGUAUGUGGUUUAAUUCGAAGCAACGCGAAGAACCUUACCAGGGCUUGACAUCCCUUGAAUCCUGUGGAAACAUAGGCGCUCUUCGGAGCAAGGAGACAGGUGGUGCAUGGUUGUCGUCAGCUCGUGUCGUGAGAUGUUGGGUUAAGUCCCGCAACGAGCGCAACCCUUGUCGUUAGUUGCCAGCAUGUAAAGAUGGGCACUCUAGCGAGACUGCCGGUGACAAAUCGGAGGAAGGUGGGGACGACGUCAAAUCAUCAUGCCCCUUAUGUCCUGGGCUACACACGUACUACAAUGGCUGUAACAGUGGGAAGCGAAAGAGCAAUCUGGAGCAAAUCCCCAAAAGCAGCCCCAGUUCAGAUCGUGGGCUGAAACCCGCCCACGUGAAGGCGGAAUUGCUAGUAAUGGCAGGUCAGCAUACUGCCGUGAAUACGUUCCCGGGCCU
Molecule: ribosomal RNA, 1131 nt
Filed under: uncultured bacterium
Lineage: Bacteria
Description: bacterial SSU rRNA
Rfam family: Bacterial small subunit ribosomal RNA
Source: RNAcentral